This 302-nucleotide unclassified non-coding RNA is filed under the name Hevea brasiliensis (rubber tree). The record is from RNAcentral. Lineage: Eukaryota; Viridiplantae; Streptophyta; Magnoliopsida; Malpighiales; Euphorbiaceae.
UUUGUCUGUGCAAAAUGGUCCAGGAAUGGGAAGUUAUGGAGACCUGAUGGCAGAUUUAGAGGAGUCGUUGUUGAGCCAACGGUCAAGUUAUACAUCAGGUUCUGGUUUGACAAAAUUAAAGGAAGAUCGUUUCCGAAGCCAUAUCCAGCAUCGCCUAACUGAACUUGAAGACUUGCCAACCAGCAGAGGUGAGGACUUGCAAUCGAAGUGCUUGCUUGAACUUUAUGAAUUAAAGUUAGCAGAUUUACAACAAAAAGUUCGGUCUGAAGUGAGUUCUGAAUAUUGGCUUCGCCUGCAUUGCG